CGGCAACAGCUCAAAUUUGAAAUCUGGCUCUUUUAGAGUCCGAGUUGUAAUUUGCAGAGGAUGCUCCGGCGUCGGGCCCGUACUAAGUUCCUUGGAACAGGACGUCCUAGAGGGUGAGAACCCCGUCUUCGUUCGGGACGCCUUCGCCAUGUGGAGCACCUUCGAC
RNAcentral lists this ribosomal RNA (166 nucleotides) under Phaeococcomycetaceae sp. RNAcentral's name for it is "partial large subunit ribosomal RNA". It matches the Rfam family "Eukaryotic large subunit ribosomal RNA", at positions 99 to 261 of the family's 3401-position model. Lineage: Eukaryota; Fungi; Ascomycota; Arthoniomycetes; Lichenostigmatales; Phaeococcomycetaceae. The record is from RNAcentral.